Long non-coding RNA from Rhagoletis pomonella (apple maggot), 1762 nucleotides. RefSeq lists it as uncharacterized. NCBI's taxonomy places the organism in Eukaryota, Metazoa, Arthropoda, Insecta, Diptera, Tephritidae. The transcript has 2 exons. The record is from RefSeq and is a predicted model, not a curated record.
UAUCAAUUCGUCUUUAGAAGCGUACGGUACAUCUGGUGAAAAGUGCGAUCCCAAAGUAGUAAAGACCAGCCGCCCAUAGACCAAGUGAACCAAGACUGUAGCUGAGGACUUUGCACAAUGUGGUUGGGGGUGUUCACUGCCCUUGCUAGCUUGCCUGCCUACGCAAGGUUGAUGGGGUGUUCCAUGUACAUACAUACAUACAUAUGUAGUGUGAGUAACGGUUAGUUUUAUUGUUAGACAAAAUAAGUCGCGUGUGUACGUACAUACAUAAGUACAUUUGAUGGACACUGGGUGUAAGUGGGUUGGUAUGCUUGCUGUUAAGGAGAACUUUUAUACGUGGACGUCGCACGUAUGUACAUAUAUCUGUACAUAGAUACGGUCAGUCGGUCGAGUGAUUGUACAAAACAAAGUUCGUUCGUUCGUUCGUUCGGUCAGCUUGUCAAUUCAACAGUGUUUACUUGUGCAUAUUUAUGUGAGUUUAGUUGUGUGUGUCAUACAUGUCGGCUGCUGCUAACGGUAAUGUGCAUUGAAGAUUUUGUGAGAAUUUCCGCACGCACACCAACCAACUUGUAAGUUAAAAUAUUGUAGGCGGAAGCCAACGCAUUUUGGGCCGAAAUAGCCGAAAUCUCAUCGUUAAAAUACCGGAGCAUAGACUUUGUGAAAAAAAAAAUGCCUAUUGCAAAAACAGUGAAAUAAAUUGAUAUACAGUGUGCAUACGACAACAACAAUAACAACAAAAAAUGUAAUAGAAAUUUCAAAACCAAUAUAAAAGCUAGCGUACAUGGCGCAGUGGUUGGGAGUGUGAGUGUAGGUACAUGUGUGUGUGUGUGUGUGUGUCCAUGUGCAUGCAUGCAUGUGUGGUGGGGCCGAUUUCGAAAUCAAUUUUCAAUGAAAUUCGCUUUGCAGCAACAACAAUGUUGCCGACCAAGUGCAGCCAUUGAAAAUUGAUGAUGAAAACACGAAUAAGCGCAAUAAAGACUGCAAAAAUAAAAAAAAAUAAUAAAUAAAUAAAUAAAAAUACAACGAAAUAACGGACAUCGAAAAUAAAUACAGCGGCGAGUAGAGAAAUCGAAUACCAACGACCCAGCAAGUGGCCCCGGCCCUCCCUCUCCCUACCUCCCGCUCAGCCAGCUGCUGCCUACGCCGCCUGGGCCCCUUCCUGUGCGCGCAGCUUGCAAGAUUUGGCUGCGCUCAGCGAAAUUGUGGUAGGUGAGAAAUUGAAUAAAGGAAAGGGAAAGUCAGUCAGGGAGCUUGUGUGGCGAACGCGGACAUAAGCUGGCUAGUGGCUGGCGACCGUCGCUUAUUGGGUGCGUCAGCGGUUUGGCGCGGUGGAAAACUACAAUGGAAAUGUACAUGAAAUUCACUUACACAUGUGAAUAUACACAUACCUGUGUUUGUGUAGUUGUUUUUGUGGAUUUAUUUGUGCGCAUGCAAUUUGGACAUACAAAUAACGCUCGCUGGCUGACGGACGACACUAGCGGCGGUCCUCGCGAAUGUAAAUCGCACGCGAAGACGUCGUCGUCGUCGACGAAAGCAUUUUAGCGACGCUACUAAUAACAACAACCACAAUAAAAUUAACCAAUAAACGAAGGCAAAAAUGUGGAGAAAAGAGGAAAAAAAUGAACAAUCGCCCAGGUUUGGCAAAGAGCGCCUCCAACCAUCGACAUUGCCUGCGCAAUCGACAUCACACCGACGUCGUCAGCGCCAAUACCAAUAUCAUCCAACCAACGUCGAAAACGAUUUUUAACCGACAUUGUGCAAA